This is a long non-coding RNA of Gadus chalcogrammus (walleye pollock), 6057 nucleotides long. RefSeq lists it as uncharacterized. Lineage: Eukaryota; Metazoa; Chordata; Actinopteri; Gadiformes; Gadidae. The record is from RefSeq and is a predicted model, not a curated record. The transcript has 5 exons.
GGCACUCAGUCCACAUGGAGGGGGCGGCCACUCAGUUCACAUUGAGGACUGGUCAAACAGCAUUUCUGAUCCCGUUUCUGACCUGAAAUUAGCUGAAAUGUACCUGAAAUUACCUGGAAUUAGAGUGUGCCCGCCCGAGCGAGUGAUGCCUAAAACAUGCAAGCGGAAGGCGGGUCACUCCAGGCCGCUGCAGUCGUCGUCACUGUCGCUGCUAGUUGUAUCAUCCAUGACCGGGGAAGGACUCGGAGCCGGAGGAGGAAGACUGAACUGCUGGGGACCUGGAAUGUAGAAGAUCAUCGUUAAGCGUACAAUUUGGUGACAUGGGUAAUGUUUGGCUUUCUUGCUUUCUAAAUCAAGCUUUUUGUAUUAAUGCCAUUGACUUGAAUAUGAUUCUGUUCAAUAUCAAUGAUGAAGCCCUGUGAUAGUUUUAGCAGCAUUUUCUCUCAACACGUGGCUACUGAUUGAUGUGCUAACUAGCUUUUUUAAUCUCUAGUGCUAGUUAGCUGUUUGCCAAGAGUUAGUGGGAGACUUUCCCACUUCCUUACUAAAUUCGUUCAAAUUCGCUCAUCAUCAUUGUUCUAAAAUUAAAGAAAUAGUGUUGAGCAAAGAAGGCAAGUUUGAGGGGAAAAUAACAUCCCUGAGACCGACGUCGUACAGUAGCCUAGUUAUGCUAUUUUGCAACCAUGCUUUUGGCGAUAGCGGGAAACAUGCUUUCUACAUUUUAUGGUGAAAUCCAAACAUUACUUAUCGAUUUUAAGAACUCCGAUUAAAGUUACCAAUUGUAAGUGGGAAAUGUAAAAAACGGGUGGAUAGGAUAUUGUGCCAAUUUGCCGUUUGGGGAGUUUAUUUUUAUUGUCAUUACGUUUAGAAUUGACUUUAUGUCUUGUCUUUCCAUAAGAUGCAAGGAAUAUGGCUAUAUGGGCUUAUAUUAGAGGGCAAAUGUUAAAGAAAUACAAGUCAUAUAGUACAUGUACCCACCAUUGACUCCAAAAUGAUACUCUACUACAAUUGCCUAUUGAACCACACGCUGAAGUCCACCUCUAAAACUUUCACAUACUUUUCUUAAAGUAGUUUCACCUCCUCUCUUUGUACUCGCAUGCCACAUGCUCACACCCCACUCAAAAUAGUGUUAAUUGUACUCUUUGGUCAGUAACAUUCUCAGAGUUGAAUGUACUUAUUGUGUAACCUAUUAAGAGCUGUAAAGUUGAAACUGGCCACCUUCAGAAUUUACACAGAUUUUUGACUCUGUUAGAGUAAUUUGAUUCUCCAUGGUGUUGUAAAUAGUCUAUCUGGAUUUAUUUACUAGUAAAUUACUUAAAGGUGCACUAUGAUGGUGGAUUUCAGGGUCUGGUUCAACAGAAAAUCAAACAACUUGAAGAAUAACUUUUAAAUUCCAUGUUAGGUAAAGCUCCAUGAAACUGUAAAAGGUUCAGCACAUCCCUCUUGCCCCUCAAACGCUUCAAGAGAAAGCUAUGAGGCAAAAGCCAGCUUCUUCCCUCCUCUGCCAAGCCAGUUGAAUUUCAGCGCGAAGUGGUUGGUGAGGAUGUGGCGAAGGAUUCUUCGAACCGCGUCCCCAGGAUUGCAGCCCCCAAGCGCACUAAGGUGUGCUGCCUGCAGAAGAUCCUCCACCCUUUGAAGGUCUUCCUCGCAGUUCAUUGGGAACUUAAAUUCCUCAGAUAGAGUGUCUGCUGCUGCUGCUGCUGUAGUUUUUUGCCUAGUAAGGGCCUGGAGGAGGAGGUUGUUCUGCCUCACCAAGGCCUUCAACUCCUCCACAGCACGCAGGAGUGCAUGAUCCCGUUCUACAGGACAGAAAAACAUCAUGACUGUCAUGUCAAGAGUAAGACCCUUUGCUAAAAUUAACAGACUUAAGUUUAAACAGAUUUUCAGUAUUGCUGUGUAAGGCCAGAUGUUUGUGUACCGAAUUGACUUUGAAUGUUGCCAGAGAUCUGGGCAGAGGCCUGUUCAAGAGCAGCUGAUGUGUGGGCAGCAACUGUAGGCAAGAAGAUGUAUAUUUAUAAUCAGAGUAGUCAGUGUAUUGAAGUUCAUUACAUUCAAAUUUCCCAGAUUCAAGACAUUCAAAAAAGAUGGUGAGUAGAAUAGCAGAAUUCAGAUUUGGAAUGAUGUGUUAUACCUUUAUGUAUGUCCUGCUGUGAUGCUCUAAAAGCAGGUGGGGAAAGCAGGGGCUUGUGGAGGACUCCUUUUUUUUCUUUUUUCUUAGCCCUAUACAUUGGAACAGUACAAGAGUAUGAACAACAACAGUUUUGUAAGACUGCAAACUUGCCAAUCACAAAAUGUCUUCAUGUGAGUGAUAAUGCAUGGCCAUCUGUAAUCAGACCUUGUAUGCUUCUCCCCCUCAUCUGCAGGCACAAUUUCUUUCAGCUUUGAGGAAGGGCUGCAUUAGAAAAGAAAUCACUCAAUAAGCAUGCAUUGUUUUGUGUAGCUGAUGGUUUUCAUAGUAUAGAUUACUGCACAGUGCUUACAUUCUCCUUCUUUUACCCCCUUCAUCAUCUGAUGUCAGGGUGCUCCUGGUUUGGGCUUUUUUCAGGUUCAUACGCGCUGCAUCAUAAUUGGCUGUUGAAGACAACAAUGAAGUGAGUAAAGCUUUUAAAGCCUAAGGGGAGAAAAGUGGUACAUCCUACUUUUGUCUGUCUCACCAAAGGUUUUCACCACCUCCACAAAAAACUCUCCCCAGGUCUCAUCUGGCAUAGCGCUUUGGAUGACUGCAACUUUCGUCCGCUUGGUGUCUUUAUACGGUGGCCAAAAAGACACCUUGCCGUCCAAACUUAGCCACAAGCAAGGCACAACCUCCACCUCGUUUGACUCGGUUCCCAACCACAGCUGUCCCCAGUGCAGUUGAAUCAACAGGGUGGUUGAAGAAUGGACGUUGGUCUAAAUAUUGCCUCGCCACAAAAGACGUACCACCAAGUGUCCUGCUAAUUGCCUCUAUUUUAAAAGUGGCACUGUCACGUUAAAAUUGUACCGGGGGCGAAAAUUGUACCGGCCUACGUCAUCGUUUGUUUACAUCCUGACAACCUGACAACCUGCCCUGCAACAGACGACGCGAUGCAGAAAACAUGUUUCCAAACGACGAAAUAACAUAAUACAGAUAGCGGAUCGCUAUCUGAAUUAUGAUAGAUAGCGAUAACACUUGUUUUUACUUUAUAUUUGUAUUGUAUUUAAUUGUUUAAUCGAAACAAUAAAGAAAAUUGCCCGCGAAACGGGCGAUCGCGUCAAAUGACGCGUCAAAUCACGUAGGAAGGUUCUUGAACAUUCUAGACUAUGAAACCUGCUUAAAACACUCAGUUUACUAUCUAAAUUCGAUUAAACAAUUCAAUACAAUACAAAUAUAAAGUAAAAACAAGUGUUUUCUAGCGAUCCGUUAUCUGUAUUGUGUUUCAAGAACCCUCCUACGUCAUUUGACGCGAUCGCCCGUUUCGCGGGCAAAACAUUUGUCAUUUGACGCGAUCGCCCGUUUCGCGGGCAAUUUUUUUUAUUGUUUCGAUUAAACAAUUAAAUACAAUACAAAUAUAAAGUAAAAACAAGUGUUAUCACUAUCUAUCAUAAUACAGAUAGCGAUCCGCUAUCUGUAUUAUGUUAUUUCGUCGUUUGGAAACAUGUUUUCUGCAUCGCGUCGUCUGUUGCCGGGCAGGUUGUCAGGAUGUAAACAAACGAUGACGUAGGCCGGUACAAUUUUCGCCCCCGGUACAAUUUUAACGUGACAGCACCACCACACGAAACUGUGUUGUUCCCAUCCUUUGUGGACAGGGUAAAUCUAUCAGUGGCGUACUGUGUUGUUGAGGGUGAACUUUGGUUAUGGGAAGAUGGACAGACUGGGUUGAUGCUUGAUUUUUCCGUUAAUCGUUUAACAAUUUGUUGUAAUGUCUGGUUUGGCUUUCUAAUUAGUUUCUUUAAUUUAUACAAGAAAUUUUCGAAGGGAAAGGCUGAAAUUUGGGGUAGUGGGCCAUAUUUUCUAACAUCACUUGCCAGGUGGAUCAAGCUGUGGACGUUAUACACCAGAAAGUCCCCAUAGAUGGCGUGAAAAUUCUGAACGAACACUACCAGGAGAUUUUCCGCAUAGUCACAAUAACGGUGGUGGAGACGGGGGGAACAUAAAAUUGUUAUUGCUACGUGGAGUAAAAGAAAAUGUUGAUACAUGUGUUUUGGUAGGUUUUUUUUUAAUGCAAUGGGGCCAGUGUAAAGUAAAAAAGUCCUAAAUUCAGUGGCCUUCCACCGAUCAACCUCACGGAGGGACCUUCCCUUGCGUCCAAACUCCUUUGGCAGCCUCUUGCCCAAUUUGAUUAAGUUCUCCGAAAUAAUGCAGAUGGAUUGACUCCCAAUGCGGGUUGGAAGGGGCCCUCUCUGCCACAGCCAGAUCAACUUUCUCAUCACUCCUAGGCACACCAGGUGCAUAAAGUCCAGCACAAAUUGGGUCACCAAGCCUACAUCUAGGUGUUGUAAUGGACUGUCGCCCUCUUUGUGAUGUUCCUGGUUGACUUUUGUAGCAAAACUGUCAUCGGUUCUGAGAACCGCAUCUGUUUCGGAGUAAUUUAGGCGUCGGUUUGCCCAUGAGCCCUCUUGCAUGCACCUUUCGCAGCCGUAAUAGGAAUUGUGUGCUUUUAUGUUUUUUAGAAAUGCCCUUGCCGGUGCAUCACAGACAAAACAGGAAAUUUCAAUUUAAAUUUUUUUUGACUGAUACUCCAAGCCAUCAGAUGCAAGCUUCCCCAUCUCUGCCACAAAGUCAGAGAGGUACUCGCUUGCAUCGGUUGGCUUGGAGUAUCCACAAUAUAAACCAAUUAGAAAUGGGGAUCUAAUGGGGUCCUCUUCAAUUAGUGCAAGAAUUGGCCAAAAUUGCUGGCUGCUGCUUUUAAAAAGGGGCAGGCCAUCCACAUUUAUUUGUAGUUUUAGUGUUUGGUUUUUAGCUAAGUCCUGUUCUUGCAUUCGGCCCAGGAUCCCUUUUGCCACACCAAAAUAGUGCAUGUUCCCCCCAGCUUUUGGUACUAUCUCCGCAUAAGUAGGGGUUGACAGGAGAGUGCGGCCGUCUUUUGGCAGUUUGGAAUCUGGGAAGUGCUUGCGAAGCACGGAGAGCAGGCUGGAAAUGUGGGAAAUUGGUGUAUUUGUUGUGAUUGCCCAUUCCUUGAGCUCAUGUCUUAAGUCCCCUUGAAAACUGCCCCCCUCCUCUGAAUCUGAGCCACUGCUAGAGCUCGACAAAUCAUUGAACUCCCAGUCAUCCUCGCCAGAGGAGGCGCUCUCCUCUGAUGCCAUUACCCAAUCCCCAUCUCCGCUUUCGUCGUCGUUUUCUAUUUCGGUGUAAGCUGGGACACUUGGUGGUGUGUCUAAUGUGUCUGCGCCAGCGGCCAGGUUAAAGUAAGUGGGCCCGCUAGCAUGAAGCGCUGCCAACGCAGCAUCCGCUCCUCUUUUAACAUGCCUUCGCAGCGACCUCUUUGAUAAAAUUAUUUUACUCUCUGCCAUUUUUUGUAAUUUUGCUGUCGUAAGAGGUAGGCUAUAAUUGAAUUAUUUUGUAGCGGCUAGACUGUAACCCGGCUGGCGGCUAGCUAGCUGGCUAGCUACAGUUGGCGAAUUUGUUGACAACAUUACGACUAGCGCUAGCAAUUUAGCCGGUACUUUGUCAAACGGGUGGGGUUUGCCUUACCUUGGCUAAGUGAACCGGUUUACUUGUUUGUUUGUUUUGGUAUUGUUUGACGUGUUUUCUGGACGAUGUGAAGUUGUCGGCAUCAAAUGUGGUUGUUGGCAGGCAGCUGACGGUUAUUUCUUGUUGUUAUAUGGUCGCGAGCUUUGUUGACGGUUAUUUUUUGAUGUUAUAUGGUCGCGAGCUUAUUGCUGUUAUUGUUGAAUAUCAUAUCAGUUUGGACCAGUUUCUCUAAAAAGAAAACAUGCUACAUCAGGGGUCCUGUACUGAUGAAGCAAUAUUGUAAGCAAAGCAAUAAAGUAGUGUUAUCAGGGUAGCACCAGUGCUAUCUAGCACCAGUACUCAUUUCCCUAAUAUGUGGUUUAUCCCCCCCCCCCGGUUUAUCUGUCCCUACUCCCCCAAUCCCUUAA